Alligator mississippiensis (American alligator) is the source of this 71-nucleotide transfer RNA. It matches the Rfam family "tRNA". Rfam says of the family: Transfer RNA (tRNA) molecules are approximately 80 nucleotides in length. Their secondary structure includes four short double-helical elements and three loops (D, anti-codon, and T loops). Further hydrogen bonds mediate the characteristic L-shaped molecular structure. tRNAs have two regions of fundamental functional importance: the anti-codon, which is responsible for specific mRNA codon recognition, and the 3' end, to which the tRNAs corresponding amino acid is attached (by aminoacyl-tRNA synthetases). tRNAs cope with the degeneracy of the genetic code in two manners: having more than one tRNA (with a specific anti-codon) for a particular amino acid; and 'wobble' base-pairing, i.e. permitting non-standard base-pairing at the 3rd anti-codon position. The record is from Rfam. NCBI's taxonomy places the organism in Eukaryota, Metazoa, Chordata, Crocodylia, Alligatoridae.
GCAUUGGUGGUUCAAUAGUAGAAUUCCUGCCUCCCAUGCAGGAGACUUGCAUUCAAUUCCCAGCCAAUACA